RNAcentral lists this long non-coding RNA (401 nucleotides) under Numida meleagris (helmeted guineafowl). Its description in RNAcentral is "lncRNA (ENSNMEG00000006262.1)". The record is from RNAcentral. Lineage: Eukaryota; Metazoa; Chordata; Aves; Galliformes; Numididae.
UGUUAGGGUCAUUAGGGUGGGGUCGUUAGGGUCGUUAGGGCUGGUGUCAUUAGGGUUAUGAGGGCUGGGUUCGUUAGGGUUGUUAGGGCUGGUGUCAUUAGGGUUAUGAGGGCUGGGUUCAUUAGGGUCGUUAGGGUCAUUAGGGCUGGGGUCGUUAGGGUCAUUAGGGGUGGGUUUGUUAGGGUUGUUAGGGCUGGGGUUAGGGUCAUUAGGGCUGGGUUCGUUACGGUCAUUAGCGCUGGGGCUGUUAGGGUCGUUAGGGCUGAGGUCAUUACAGUCAUCAGGGUUGGGGUCAUUAGGGUCGUUAGGGUCAUUAGGGCUGGGUUCGUUACCGUCAUUAGUGCCGGGGUUGGUAGGGUCAUUAGGGCUGGGGUCAUUAGAGUCAUCAGGGUUGGGGUCAU